AUUAAAAAACAAACAAACAGAAAAAAAAAAUCAACAAAACAGCUGCUGCUCAUCCUGCUCUCUUUCUACUUUCUUGUGCUUUGCCCCUCCCCUUUCCCGGGUGAUUGGCUUUGGGUGCUGGGUGGGGCCAAAUGGUAUAUGAGCCCCAGGCAUGCCUUCAGAGAGCUCAUUCUGCCUGGGCUGCUGUUUGGGG
Molecule: long non-coding RNA, 193 nt
Organism: Oxyura jamaicensis (ruddy duck)
Lineage: Eukaryota; Metazoa; Chordata; Aves; Anseriformes; Anatidae
Exons: 2
Source: RefSeq, a predicted model, not a curated record